This is a long non-coding RNA of Lucilia sericata (common green bottle fly), 344 nucleotides long. RefSeq lists it as uncharacterized. The transcript is spliced from 2 exons. The record is from RefSeq and is a predicted model, not a curated record. NCBI's taxonomy places the organism in Eukaryota, Metazoa, Arthropoda, Insecta, Diptera, Calliphoridae.
UUAUGACGCAAUAAAUCUUUGAAGGGUUCAUUUAAAUGAUUCAUAUAGUGUGACAACUCUAAGGGAUCUAUAGUCGACAUAAAGCCACAAUGGUUAGUACCGGAACCAAACAUUGCAACAAAGUAGCAAUCACCAUAUUUUGGCUCUUUGCUUGAUAGAAUACGAAUUUCGACUAGCCACUACCGAUGGGCGUCAACUUUUUUCUAUUAUGGAUUAUUUCAUGGCAGAAUAAUUUGUCCAGUUUGUUUUUUCAACUUUAGCAGUCGUUUUCAAAACAAUAACAAAAAGCCAUCACUAUACCCCCAAAGAAUAUCAAGAAGAUCUACAUAUGUCACAUUUAAAGC